ACUUUUUAAUUCACUAAACUUUGAUAUUCAUGAUUCUAACAUUUAUAACUAAAUAUGAAUCACCAUAAUAUGAAAUAAAACUUUAUCUGAGUAUCGUGAUUCACGUCGUGAGAUAUUUUCGAUUUCUCCGAAGUCUUAGAUUCUUUGAUCUUCGUCAAUUUGCCUUGAUCCUUCAAGACUCCGACUUAAUUCACGAAACCUGCCAACAAACAAGACUUAACAGAAGACACAAUGUUAAUGGAGAGGCCUAGACAAAAAAUAGGAAAUUACACUUACUACUUCUAUAAGAAAUUUUUUUUUAUAAUAUAUUUCUGUCAUUUUUGUUAUAAAUUAUAAGAAAUGAACGGAAUAGUUAUAGAACCGUGACAUGUGGAAUGUUGAGAGAGUAAAAUAUAGAUUUUAAAAGUGAGAAAAAAAAAAUAAAAAAUAGGUAUUUA
This 437-nucleotide long non-coding RNA is filed under the name Ananas comosus (pineapple). Its description in RNAcentral is "long non-coding RNA (ACOM_LNC043263)". Lineage: Eukaryota; Viridiplantae; Streptophyta; Magnoliopsida; Poales; Bromeliaceae. The record is from RNAcentral.